Cyprinus carpio carpio is the source of this 317-nucleotide long non-coding RNA. The record is from Ensembl. Lineage: Eukaryota; Metazoa; Chordata; Actinopteri; Cypriniformes; Cyprinidae.
GAAAAAGUCGAGGGCUGAAGCUCACAAGAAGUGCAGUAACUAAACUAUAUUGACCACUGUUGACAUCUGGUAGAUGAUGAAAGAGGUGCAUGAGGAAAUAACAGAUUUAUUAUGAGGGAUAAUGUACAGUGAUGUACAGCUGUGGCAUGAUCUGACUAAUAAAUCUUGGUAUCAGCGGACAAAUACGGGUUCCUCAUCCUUCAGCUGCCAAUCAGAGGGAAGACGUCUGUUGCGUCCAGCUGUGGCAGGAACAUCUGGUGCGAAUGGCAAACCAUGCUGCUUCCAGCGAUUGAGAAUACACACAAACACACACAAAC